AAGAGUUUUGGAUAUGGCUCAGAUUGAACGCUGGCGGCAGGCCUAACACAUGCAAGUCGAACGGUAGCACAGAGGAGCUUGCUCCUUGGGUGACGAGUGGCGGACGGGUGAGUAAUGUCUGGGAAACUGCCCGAUGGAGGGGGAUAACUACUGGAAACGGUAGCUAAUACCGCAUAACGUCGCAAGACCAAAGAGGGGGACCUUCGGGCCUCUUGCCAUCGGAUGUGCCCAGAUGGGAUUAGCUAGUAGGUGGGGUAACGGCUCACCUAGGCGACGAUCCCUAGCUGGUCUGAGAGGAUGACCAGCCACACUGGAACUGAGACACGGUCCAGACUCCUACGGGAGGCAGCAGUGGGGAAUAUUGCACAAUGGGCGCAAGCCUGAUGCAGCCAUGCCGCGUGUAUGAAGAAGGCCUUCGGGUUGUAAAGUACUUUCAGCGAGGAGGAAGGCAUUAAGGUUAAUAACCUUGGUGAUUGACGUUACUCGCAGAAGAAGCACCGGCUAACUCCGUGCCAGCAGCCGCGGUAAUACGGAGGGUGCAAGCGUUAAUCGGAAUUACUGGGCGUAAAGCGCACGCAGGCGGUCUGUCAAGUCGGAUGUGAAAUCCCCGGGCUCAACCUGGGAACUGCAUUCGAAACUGGCAGGCUAGAGUACUGAGUGG
RNAcentral lists this ribosomal RNA (661 nucleotides) under Citrobacter freundii. Its description in RNAcentral is "bacterial SSU rRNA". It matches the Rfam family "Bacterial small subunit ribosomal RNA", at positions 1 to 656 of the family's 1533-position model. Lineage: Bacteria; Pseudomonadati; Pseudomonadota; Gammaproteobacteria; Enterobacterales; Enterobacteriaceae. The record is from RNAcentral.